ACUAAAUAUGUGUACCUGCUGUAAAUAUGGACUAAAAGUAAAUUGUGGGCUUUUAGGUGGGUUUGACUAAGUUUCAAAUUGUCCAUAAAGGACCCACGUACAUGG
Small nucleolar RNA from Arachis stenosperma, 105 nucleotides. NCBI's taxonomy places the organism in Eukaryota, Viridiplantae, Streptophyta, Magnoliopsida, Fabales, Fabaceae. The record is from RefSeq and is a predicted model, not a curated record.